GUGUCAGCAGCCGCGGUAAUACAGAGGGUGCGAGCGUUGUCCGGAAUCACUGGGCGUAAAGGGCGCGUAGGCGGCUGGGUAAGCGUGUGGUGAAAGUCCGGGGCUCAACCCCGGAUCGGCCAUGCGAACUGUCCAGCUGGAGCACGGUAGAGGCACAUGGAAUUCCGGGUGUAGCGGUGGAAUGCGUAGAGAUCCGGAAGAACACCGGUGGCGAAGGCGGUGUGCUGGGCCGUAGCUGACGCUGAGGCGCGACAGCGUGGGGAGCAAACAGGAUUAGAUACCCCUGUAGUCC
This 292-nucleotide ribosomal RNA is filed under the name uncultured bacterium. RNAcentral's name for it is "partial 16S ribosomal RNA". It matches the Rfam family "Bacterial small subunit ribosomal RNA", at positions 505 to 796 of the family's 1533-position model. The record is from RNAcentral.